UGGGGGAUUUUGCACAAUGGGCGCAAGCCUGAUGCAGCGACGCCGCGUGAGGGAUGAAGGCCUUCGGGUUGUAAACCUCUUUCGCUGGGUUGAAAGGCCAUGCUUUGGGUGUGGUUGAUUUGAACUGGUAAAGAAGUACCGGCUAACUACGUGCCAGCAGCCGCGGUAAUACGUAGGGUACUAGCGUUGUCCGGAUUUAUUGGGCGUAAAGGGCUUGUAGGUGGUUUGUCGCGUCUGUCGUGAAAUCCUGUGGCUUAACCAUGGGCUUGCGGUGGGUACGGGCAGGCUUGAGUGCGGUAGGGGAGACUGGAAUUCCUGGUGUAGCGGUGGAAUGCGCAGAUAUCAGGAGGAGCACCGGUGGCGAAGGCGGGUCUCUGGGCCGUUACUGACACUGAGGAGCGAAAGCGUGGGGAGCGAACAGG
This 422-nucleotide ribosomal RNA is filed under the name Fusobacteriota bacterium. Its description in RNAcentral is "Fusobacteria bacterium partial 16S ribosomal RNA". It matches the Rfam family "Bacterial small subunit ribosomal RNA", at positions 355 to 776 of the family's 1533-position model. The record is from RNAcentral. Lineage: Bacteria; Fusobacteriati; Fusobacteriota.